GUUUGGGCCUCAAGCCCAAACUCUACAGGCUGAAAAAAGGGAUUCGGACCAACGCAUAAUCAUGAAAUGCCACCGUCUCAGCAGCAUCUGCAUUUCCUGCUUUUAUCAACCCAUAAUCACACCAUUCCAAACGUGAGCAUGAGCAAAAACAAAUUCGGAUCAAAAUCUUAAUCGAUUUGAACUCCUGGUCAUCUUCACUGAUCCAGAGUUCCAACAUCCGCGUCAACGUUCAACCUUAUUGAAUAAGAUGCUUGGUGAAUUUAUAGAGAGCUGAAUAUUAACAGAGUUAGAUGUUGUUAACUUGCUCAGUGUAAAUUAGUUAGGAAAAUGAUUCCGUUAUCACCCUGUUAAGUGAUUCUUUUAUAGUCAGUUUGAGUUAGUUGAAAUCUGUUAAAAUGUUAAUUGCAAAUAGUUGGUAUUUGUUAACUGUGUUAGAUUAAUCUUUUAAUUGAUGGAAUGUUAGUUAGAGAGGUAAGCUGAAUUUGAUUCUGACUCUGCUAUUGAAUUUGCAGGGUAGAAGUGGUUAUGUUAAUCCCGACUUUACAGGGUUCCUGCGAUCUGAGUUUUUUUGUUUAUGCUGUUGCGAACGUUAUUCAUGGUGCAGGGUUCUAUUAGUUAUAAUCUAUGUUAAUUCCUGGUUUUCCAUUUGGAUUUUGCAGAAUGAAUUGUUGUGAAUUAUGGUUUGCACGAUGCAGGGAGUAGUUUAGUGCAGGAUUUUUGCUUGGUUUGCUACUGUCAAAACCCGAUGCAUCAUUUGGUUUAUACGUGCAUUGUCGUAACAUUGGUUCGGUUUUGACAUAGGGAGCAAAAGGAUAACCCACAGAUAAAUGGAAGGAGCAUGAUGGGACUUAGGGAUUGAUUAGUAUAGAACUUGUUUUAUGUGGAAAUUCUGGAUGUAUAUGAAUUGUAUCGGAAGACAUUUGAAUGUAUUUUGAAAAUCAAUUUACUUGUGAAAAGAAUGGAUUUGGAAUUGGUAUUGAAACUUGGUUUGGAUUGAA
Lathyrus oleraceus (garden pea) is the source of this 998-nucleotide long non-coding RNA. RefSeq lists it as uncharacterized. NCBI's taxonomy places the organism in Eukaryota, Viridiplantae, Streptophyta, Magnoliopsida, Fabales, Fabaceae. The record is from RefSeq and is a predicted model, not a curated record. The transcript has 2 exons.